GAGUUUGAUCCUGGCUCAGGACGAACGCUGGCGGCGUGCCUAAUACAUGCAAGUAGAACGCUGAAGGAGGAGCUUGCUCUUCUGGAUGAGUUGCGAACGGGUGAGUAACGCGUAGGUAACCUGCCUGGUAGCGGGGGAUAACUAUUGGAAACGAUAGCUAAUACCGCAUAACAGUAGAUGUUGCAUGACAUUUGCUUAAAAGGUGCAAUUGCAUCACUACCAGAUGGACCUGCGUUGUAUUAGCUAGUUGGUGGGGUAACGGCUCACCAAGGCGACGAUACAUAGCCGACCUGAGAGGGUGAUCGGCCACACUGGGACUGAGACACGGCCCAGACUCCUACGGGAGGCAGCAGUAGGGAAUCUUCGGYAAUGGACGGAAGUCUGACCGASCWACGCCGCGUGAGUGAAGAAGGUUUUCGGAUCGUAAAGCUCUGUUGUAARAGAAGAACGAGUGUGAGAGUGGAAAGUUCACACWGUGACGGUAUCUUACCWKAAAG
Molecule: ribosomal RNA, 497 nt
Filed under: uncultured Bacillota bacterium
Lineage: Bacteria; Bacillati; Bacillota
Description: bacterial SSU rRNA
Source: RNAcentral